Molecule: ribosomal RNA, 446 nt
Filed under: uncultured bacterium
Lineage: Bacteria
Description: partial 16S ribosomal RNA
Rfam family: Bacterial small subunit ribosomal RNA
Source: RNAcentral
CCUACGGGUGGCAGCAGUCGAGAAUCAUUCACAAUGGGGGAAACCCUGAUGGUGCGACGCCGCGUGGGGGAAUGAAGGUCUUCGGAUUGUAAACCCCUGUCAUGUGGGAGCAAAUUAAAAAGAUAGUACCACAAGAGGAAGAGACGGCUAACUCUGUGCCAGCAGCCGCGGUAAUACAGAGGUCUCAAGCGUUGUUCGGAAUCACUGGGCGUAAAGCGUGCGUAGGCUGUGUCGUAAGUCGUGUGUGAAAGGCGGGGGCUCAACCCGCGGACGGCACAUGAGACUGCGGGACUAGAGUAAUGGAGGGGGAACCGGAAUUCGCGGUGUAGCAGUGAAAGGCGUAGAUAUCGAGAGGAACACUCGUGGCGAAGGCGGGUUCCUGGACAUUAACUGACGCUGAGGCACGAAGGCCAGGGGAGCGAAAGGGAUUAGAUACCCGGGUAGUC